AAAGGCCUGGAAAAACGGGGACGAAAAAAAAAAAACAUUAUUUUGACUUUGUAAACAAUCGUAGUAGACGACCCACACGCGCCUUGUUAUUUUUCCAAACAAAGUUGCGCAGGUAACCAUGGGUCCCAUAGCGACGGCCAACAGAGGAAAAAGGAAAAUACAGCGCUCGACCAAAAUUUUAAUCAGAGAGGCUUUGAGUGUCAUUUUGUGAGGUCGUGUCUGGCAUUGUCUCGCUUUCGAUUUGGCUUUUUUCGUUUUUUGCUUGGUUUUUGUCUUUCUUUUCAGCGAUUUUUACAGGAAUGGAGCAAAAUUCUAAAUGUGGCUGUUCCGCUGAGGAACGGACCGUGACCAGGUCUGUCCAGGCUACCGAGGCAUUUGAGGAGGCUAUACGUACCCUGACUGUGGCGAUUCGGGACAGUCGCCGAGAGCGCUGUCCCGAGGGGUGUUUGUCGGUCUGUUGGCUUAACUUUAUGACUGGGAUCGUAGCCCAACCCCCGCCGGAGCGUGUUGGAGUUUACCGUCGUAAAACCAAAGGUGACGGUGCUGGCCGCUGUGAUGUGGCCACCCAAACCUUUCCGGUAACGCACGACCAGUUGCUUCGCAAAGUCAAGCUAGCGUCCAUGCACAUUGCAAUCAGGCAAGCAAAACAUCGUUGCACCUGCGGUAUCGUUGAAGCCAUUUUGGCCACGAUGGAGCUGGAACUGACGGGUCAAAACGCAGGUUUGGAAAUCGUCGAGGUGGAAGAGGAAAAAUUGGUUCAAAUUUUCAAAUGUCGCGGCCAAGAGCCAAAUUUUCCGUCAGAAAUUGUCGAAGAAGAUGCGAGUCGAAAUUCUAGUGCCAACCACGUCUUCCGCCCUGCUUGGACCAUUUUCGGUAGAAAACUUCUGCGCUGUCUGAGCAUUGUGACAGCGGAAGUGUUCAAAAUUUACACUGGACGCUGAUUUUGCGUCUUUUUCUCUAAAUUUCUUGUGGUUUUUCUAUUUGGGCUGAUAGGUAUUUCCGAUACGUUUUUCUUCUUUGAUAUUCCAAAACAUUCGAACUUGGUGAUUGUCGCGAGUUUGAACAUCAAGCUAAAUUUUCUAAUCUUUUGAUCUGUCGUUUUGUGCGGAAUCCUCUUCUCAAAGGGUUUGUUUGCAGGGUUUAAAAAUGGGUCAUUGAAUUAUUUUUUUUAUCACCAAUUUUCCAAAUGUGUUUAGUUCAUUGUUUGUUAUUUCUUAUUACAAAAUGUAUGUUCAAAGUACAUUGAAGCUUAUUGAUAACAUUAAGCGGAAUGUAAUAUUCUUAUCGGCAAGAGAAUCUUAGAUCGAAGCCAAAAGUUUUCUUUGUUUUUAAGUGUUAAAAGUGAUGUUAAAUUUUGGUAAGAAUAAGAUAUUUUUUUUUUUUGCUAAGCGAAAUAAAAAAUAACAAUCAGUUAUAUUACAAUUUUAUUUCGAAAAUCGGUGAUGAGAAAAGCAAUUGAUGAACAAACUUUAAACUUUGUGGGCAAACAUUUUGGGAAGAAUUGACCAAACAAAACGCACAUAUCACAAGAUUAGAAAGUUUUGAUUGAUGUUAAACUUACGAUGAUUGCUAUCUAAAUUAUUUUUGGGUAUUGAAGAAGAAAAACAAUUGAUAAAAGUUAAAAAUUUCUGUAAAUAAAUUUUUUUGUGUUCCGCGAGCUUACAAAUGAUACUCAAUGCCUCUCUCCAGUGAUUUAACGAGUUGUUUGUUAUGGUUUAAUGUUGACCUAACUGCAAUUCGUUAUAAAAAAAAAAAACAAAUUGUUCAAACUUUUUGAAACUUCCUUUGCACUUUUAAUAACUUUUUCUCUCUUUCUCUCUUUUUUCAAAGGUCAUAACUGUCGAAUGAGAACGAUUGCUGUUGAUGGCUGAAGAUUUGUAACUAACCACAAGAGGAGACGAUAGAUAGGACGCGGGGUCACGAUGGAAAUUGGGAAAUACCGAUGGAUUGUGGUAGAGGCUGAUGAUUCAAUGGAGAGAUAUUUUGAGGAUCAACUUAAUUUGUUAACAUAAUCUGUAAAAUUUGGUUUUCCAUGAAAUAAAAUAUUUAAAAACUGAA
This is a long non-coding RNA of Culex quinquefasciatus (southern house mosquito), 2058 nucleotides long. RefSeq lists it as uncharacterized. The transcript is spliced from 2 exons. NCBI's taxonomy places the organism in Eukaryota, Metazoa, Arthropoda, Insecta, Diptera, Culicidae. The record is from RefSeq and is a predicted model, not a curated record.